CGGAUGAGAAGACGAUUUUCAGCUCAGAUUCAGAGUCCGAAGGAUUUUACGCUGAGACAAGGCGGCAAACGCAGCGACGGA
RNAcentral lists this ribosomal RNA (81 nucleotides) under Salmonella enterica subsp. enterica serovar Adelaide str. A4-669. RNAcentral describes it as "partial large subunit ribosomal RNA". The record is from RNAcentral. Lineage: Bacteria; Pseudomonadati; Pseudomonadota; Gammaproteobacteria; Enterobacterales; Enterobacteriaceae.